GGCGAAAUAGCUCAGUUGGCUAGAGCGUCCGGUUCAUACCCGGAAGGUCAAGUGUUCGAAUCACUUUUUCGCUACCA
Molecule: transfer RNA, 77 nt
Filed under: Clostridiales bacterium
Lineage: Bacteria; Bacillati; Bacillota; Clostridia; Eubacteriales
Description: tRNA-Met
Rfam family: tRNA
About the family: Transfer RNA (tRNA) molecules are approximately 80 nucleotides in length. Their secondary structure includes four short double-helical elements and three loops (D, anti-codon, and T loops).
Source: RNAcentral